Saccostrea cuccullata (small rock oyster) is the source of this 280-nucleotide long non-coding RNA. RefSeq lists it as uncharacterized. Lineage: Eukaryota; Metazoa; Mollusca; Bivalvia; Ostreida; Ostreidae. The record is from RefSeq and is a predicted model, not a curated record. The transcript has 3 exons.
GGUAUGAAAUAAAAUGUGCACAAAUCAUGAAAUAUAUAUUUCUUUUAUUUGAAUAUAUCUGGAUGCUUCAAUGCAUCUAUAAAGUUGUGUUAAUGUUUCAUUCUAACUAUUCAUCUUGUAGACCUGAACAAAGGACAUCGUCAUCAGAUUCUGGUCCCAAUACCAAUUCAGGAGAAGAAGAUGAAUUUAAAGGUUCCGAUUAUGUCCCAUCAACCUUCUCUGCUAUGAUUUCCGAAAAUGCUUCACCGAGCAGUCACAGUCAUAGUUUAACCACUUCAGG